This 74-nucleotide transfer RNA is filed under the name Heliorestis convoluta. RNAcentral's name for it is "tRNA-Lys". The record is from RNAcentral. Lineage: Bacteria; Bacillati; Bacillota; Clostridia; Eubacteriales; Heliobacteriaceae.
GCGGAUGUUGCUCACAGGGAGCAUCGGUUCUUAGCUAAUAACCACUGUGGGUUCAACCCCCGCCAUCCGCACCA